CCGCGAGGCACGCUCUCCCGCCUCCUCUAAUCGCUUGUGGACCCCACCCACACCUCACACGCCGAAGUACCUUGGCCGCGAAUACUCACACACACACACACACACACACACACAUAUAUAGGGCGCACUGCCCACACCUCUCGCACCCAUCAAGAGCGAAUGGGGCAGUACACACGCGACGAGUGGUCGCUGUAGCGGCGCUGCUUCGCUGCAUACCCCCCGACGCCACGCGUCGCGCUCGGUGUGCGCGUGCCGGGCUCGGGUCUGGAUGGGCGGUCGCAUGCUCACGGUCUGCGGACCCGAUGGCGAGGGGGUCUCCCUCGACGAGCGCACCCGCGUCUCCGUGCAGAUCGCACCCGGGGGCACCCGGGGGGACUUGGCGCAGGCGCCACGGACGACGGCGCGGAUGCAGGCCACGCUGGCGCACCGGGCAGGGCGAAGGGGUGCGUUGUAGGCGAGGCCUGUGACUGCCGCUUCGCGUGCAGAACCACCAAGCAAACCGCCACAGCAAACUGCCAAGCGUCCGGAGGGGGUCCCCGGACAUUCACGUGCAUGUGCGCACCGCUGUCCCCGGGUGGCCAUGCGAGGACCCCAGCACCGUUUUCCCUCUCCACCCCCCGCGAGGGUUGGAAGGAGGGACGCGUGUGUGUGCACGUGCCUGCCCUCCCUGGCCCCCUCCCUCGAGCACUGUGCUCCUUCUACUUUCCCCUACCCCCAUCUCCGCUGGAAAGUCGCCGACUAGACGCUGCAUCUGUGAUUCUGUGUUUGCUUCUUUGUGGAUGUCGAGUGUCGCAUCGCUGUUGCCUUUCGCAUCUUUUUGUUGCUGUUGUUUGUGUGUUUCAGGCUUCCCAUCCUGCGCAGCCGGCGCGACGAAAGUCGUCGUGAUGCGCUGUGUUGUCGGCGAUAGUUUUCCUUCUUAUUUAGCCUUUGUCCAGUGCUGCUCAACCCUCGUGGAUCUGGUAUUAGUUUUUACUUUCGAUUUAUCCGCUUAUCGUUUUCUUCCUCUCCUUCGGCUCAUCUGUGUCGUGCGUUCGCGUGGAGAGAAGUGCACUGUCCGUCGUUCCCAUCCUUGUCUGAGAGGCAUCCUUACGAGGCCACACACGCGCGUGCGGACGAGCCAACGCAUCCAUGUACACUAGUUUUGCUUUUUGAUUUCUUUUGGUUUGGUGAGAAUUUGUCUUUUUCCUUUUUUUGUUGGAAUGUGUAAGUGUCUGUGAGGGUGUGCGUGAUGAUGGGGAAUCUAGCGGCGCGUCUUCAUUCACCUAUCGUCUGCACUGAAAGAGAGAAUCGAAAGAGACAGCCGGGUAAGACGGCGACCCCUUUUAGGCGGGCGGAAAGGGCGAAGCCCAUCAUUUAGGAGCCGUCAUCUACUACCACGAUAGCAGCACUGACAUGAGGAAAUCCGAUAGCAUGAAAGACGCGGUAGCGAGCUUGAGGUGGAAAGGAAAGGAGCAACAAAAAUAUGGCUGGAGGCGCAAUGAAAAAGAGGAGCUGCAUGCACUGGAGUUUGAAAAACGUCGAAACCACUCGCUGCGCCUGAAGCCUUUAUUAUUGUGUUUUCCCUUUGUUUUUGGUCUUGAGCCUCUUCUGCGUCUUUCUCUGUUGCCUUUUUUUAUGUCUUGCGUCCUCUGUGUUUUCCCGGGGGGGGGGGGGGGGCUGUUCUCUUCAUCGGCUGCGCUCGGCCUAUCCUUUCCCGCCCUCUCUCUCAUACAAACGCACGCACUGCGGUCUGCGUGGGCUUGUUUCCCUCUUUUAUUUUCCUCCUGAUGUCUUUACACUGUUUUUUUUUUUCGUUUUUUUUUUGCUUCCGUCCUACGUGCAUCCUCUCUCAGUUUCGUCGCCUCUUCUCUGGGGUCGUGCUCGAUGCCUGACUCUGUCCUCACUCAUUUCCCAUCCAUCGUGGCCUUCUCGUCGGCGGCUGCGCAAGUGGCCGGCGGGCAUGCAAUGCGCAACUGUGUGCACGCGCUGGAAACCGCUAGCGGAAACGCAUGGUCCGGUGUGGUGCCGAUAUGCGUGGAGGGAGUUAUUGUCUGUUCUGCUAUAGUAGAUGGUUCUACAGAAAUGCCCGUAUACAUAAUACUUCGCUUGCUGGUGCUUUCCUCUUGUCUCUAUCCUCGCAUCUGCGUGAUGCACACAUCAGCGUCUCCCUUCGCCCCUCCUUCUUCUGCUGCCCUUCGCUAUUAUCAGUUAAUGCUCUCUUUCUGGCCUUGUCUGGCCUCGGCGAUGCCUCGUGGUGGCUCUGCUCGGAGCACCCCACCCCGCCCCCACUCCCUUUCUCUCAUAUAUGUGCGAAUCGUGCGCAGCUGGGCGUAGGCGUGUGCGCCACUCCUCUCCCGUCCUCUCUCAGAGAAGCGGACUAACUCCACGAGCCGCGUGUGUGUGCACGCGGCUCUGCCUUCUGCACUCGCGUCUUCUUUUUCCUGCUCAAUAAGCUGAUGUUCGUGUCGCGAUACUGCGAUGUGGAAGAGGAAGUGGCUUACCGAUGAGAGAAGAACUGCGCAUAUGCAUAUCAUGAUCAAGUGUCCCUUCGCUCUCGGCUUCCGUAUUUCUCGCUCUGGUUCGCUUCACCUCGUUGGCAAGAGCACUCGCACCUCUUUUCUUUUUCCAGAUUGCUUUGUUGUUCUGUGAUGCAGCGCUUCUUUUCCUGCACCGCUUCCACUGUCGACGCCGAAAAGCGAAAGGAAAAGGACUUGGCACCUGCCCACGGUUUCGUUGUUUUUUGUUGUUGUUUUUGGAGGGGGAGUGGACGUGCGCGUGGGGAUCGAUGUGACCUGCGGCUCUGUGUCUCAUGCCUCUGCAGGCGGCACACAUGCGCACUCACCCUGCACACAGAAUCCCAUCGGCGUGAGACACAAACCCCCCGCUUUUCUUGAGGUCGCAACGAGUAUGCCAACGCAGAGAGAGGGAGCAGCACUAUCCCUUCCGUCUCUUCCCCUUAACAUGCGUUACAUGCUCACAAAGGAAGAGAGGAUCUCUGAAGUAGUCAGAACAGCAAC
Molecule: unclassified non-coding RNA, 2996 nt
Filed under: Leishmania donovani
Lineage: Eukaryota; Euglenozoa; Kinetoplastea; Trypanosomatida; Trypanosomatidae
Description: gene:unknown
Source: RNAcentral